GAUAGUGUGGCAUAGUGGUUUGAGUGUUAAACCCGAAUUCUGGAGACCAGGGUUUGAUUCCCCACUCAGCCG
Phrynosoma platyrhinos (Desert horned lizard) is the source of this 72-nucleotide non-coding RNA. The record is from the annotation of a GenBank genome assembly. Lineage: Eukaryota; Metazoa; Chordata; Lepidosauria; Squamata; Phrynosomatidae.